Oryza glaberrima (African rice) is the source of this 208-nucleotide non-coding RNA. Lineage: Eukaryota; Viridiplantae; Streptophyta; Magnoliopsida; Poales; Poaceae. The record is from Rfam.
AAUAAAUACAGCUGUGGAUAUCCGUGCCCAAUGUUUGACCGUCCGUCUUAUUUAAAAUUUUUUUAUGAUUACUAUUUUUAUUGCUAUUAGAUGAUAAAACAUGAAUAUUACUUUAUGUGUGACUAAAUAUUUUUAAAUUUUUUAUAAAAUUUUCAAAUAAGACGAAUGAUUAAACGUUGAACGUGAAUAGUGCAAAAUUGCACUUGUU